This 520-nucleotide unclassified non-coding RNA is filed under the name uncultured Glomus. RNAcentral describes it as "SSU rRNA". It matches the Rfam family "Eukaryotic small subunit ribosomal RNA", at positions 569 to 1091 of the family's 1831-position model. Lineage: Eukaryota; Fungi; Glomeromycota; Glomeromycetes; Glomerales; Glomeraceae. The record is from RNAcentral.
AGCAGCCGCGGUAAUUCCAGCUCCAAUAGCGUAUAUUAAAGUUGCUGCAGUUAAAAAGCUCGUAGUUGAAUUUCGGGACCAUCAUGUCGGUCGUGCCUCGGUACGUACUGGCAUUGUUGGUUUCUCCCUUCUGACGAACCAUGAUGUCAUUUAUUUGGUGUCGUGGGAAAUCAGGACUGUUACUUUGAAAAAAUUAGAGUGUUUAAAGCAGGCUCACGCUUGAAUACAUUAGCAUGGAAUAAUGAAAUAGGACGUUUGAUUCUAUUUUGUUGGUUUCUAGGAUCGACGUAAUGAUUAAUAGGGAUAGUUGGGGGCAUUAGUAUUCAAUUGUCAGAGGCGAAAUUCUUGGAUUUAUUGAAGACUAACUACUGCGAAAGCAUUUGCCAAGGAUGUUUUCAUUAAUCAAGAACGAAAGUUAGGGGAUCGAAGACGAUCAGAUACCGUCGUAGUCUUAACCAUAAACUAUGCCGACUAGGGAUCGGAUGAUGUUAAUUUUUUAAUGACUCAUUCGGCGCCUUAC